AUAAUCGAGCACGAGGUGGUGUAGAGAUAAUUACGCAUGCGCGUAGAUGCUGGGCAGUACAUAAUGCAGUAGGCGGGGCAAGCGGAGUACCUCGAUUAACCUUGUUUAACUACCUUAAACAUCAUUUAAUCUACUGUACGUCAAGUAAUAAAUAUGCAAGCCAUGCACCCAAUUAGAUACCAUUACCACUACGAAGAUAUACGUCAUUCUAGGUACUGCUGCAAGCGAUGAGUACAGCUACCCAUUACCGCAACGCUCCUUGGAGGGUGAGCCGGACCAUGACUGAAGGCCGUUAAUAUGGAUAGGAAGCCCCUCUAAUUAAUUAGAGGGGUGCAACCUCGCUAAUUAGAUAAUGAUGAAGCGUUUCUAAUAAUUACGAUGCUCCCCUAAUUAAGUACUUGGGGGUAAAGAGGUGGCCUAGCCAACAGUCAUAGCCCAUCGGACGCAUGUCCUACCCCCAAGGAAUUAAUACAUCGAUUGCGUAAAGGUAAGUAUGCCACCUCAGCGGGGCAGUAUAUUAUAGAGCAGUACAUUAUAGAGCAGAGCAGGGCAGUAUAGUAUAAAGCAGAGCAGGGCAUUAUAUUAUAGAGCCGUACAUUAUAGACCGAAUAGCCGCGGUUAUGAUCUCAUACGUAGUACCACCCACCGCGGAACCAAAAUCCAAUUAAUUUUAAAUUACUUUUAUUAUCAGCUCCUAGCAAAGAAAGAUGCGUAGCUAAGAAGCAGUAGCAGUUUUCUGCAGGCAACUUUGUUGCAAACUAGUCAAGAAUAGCUACUCUGCCAGGAUCUCUAAGUUUCGAACGGAGGAGUAUACCAGCCAAGGCCCCAGUGAAGGAUCAUUUCCCAACCUUUGCCUCUAGCAAAGAAAGACGCAUAACUUGGAAACAGUGACAGUUUUCUUUAUUCAACUUCUUAGCAAAGUAGUCUACAGUAGUUACUGUGUCAGGAUCUCCUGGUUUUCAACGAAACAGUCAACCCGCCAAGGACCAGAGCAAGGGAUCACUUCAGAGGUAAGCUUUGUGUGCGUAUAUAGCAAGCAUUAUGUAGCUAGUAUAAGCCUUCAUAAGCCUUUGAGCUGAUUUAAUAUGCUUAUGCACUUGCCUAGAUAGUUUAUGAGUGUGUGAAGUAUACUUGUGUAGAAGCUGAGUUAGUUUAGAGCCUGUUUUUAGAGUGUAGUGUACAGUGUUUGAUAUUCAAUUUAUUUGUUUCGGUGUGGCAAAGAAAGAUGCACCCCUUAGUAACAGUAACGGUUCUCUUCAAGCUGCCUUGUAGUUUUAUCUGAACAGUCGAAGAGUCAACCAGCCAAGGACAGAGCGAGAGAUUACUUUAGAGCUGUGAAGAAUGCUGAACACCGAAAAGUUUGGGCCAACGGAUUGGUUGAGAUGGUGGGAGUCCAUAGGCAGGCCAGGAGUGGAACUGCUUACAGCACCACCCCAAAGGUUAAGGUGUGGUUUCCUCCGUCUACCUGGCAUACCGGGCACCACGACACAGACAGGGUUGCCUUGUCCGGUAAAGGCGAGGGAGUACAGCUGGGUGUUAAUGGUGGGCGGCAGUGUGUUGUGGCGGCCCCAUUUCUGGAACUCUGUGUCGUAGUACAGCCAAGAGGGGUACAUAAACUUUUUUUUUUUUUUU
Molecule: long non-coding RNA, 1632 nt
Organism: Halichondria panicea
Lineage: Eukaryota; Metazoa; Porifera; Demospongiae; Suberitida; Halichondriidae
Exons: 4
Source: RefSeq, a predicted model, not a curated record